RNAcentral lists this ribosomal RNA (386 nucleotides) under uncultured bacterium. RNAcentral's name for it is "bacterial SSU rRNA". It matches the Rfam family "Bacterial small subunit ribosomal RNA", at positions 28 to 416 of the family's 1533-position model. The record is from RNAcentral.
GACGAACGCUGGCGGCGUGCUUAACACAUGCAAGUCGAGCGGUAAGGCCCUUUCGGGGGUACACGAGCGGCGAACGGGUGAGUAACACGUGGGUGACCUGCCCUCAGCUCUGGGAUAAGCCCGGGAAACUGGGUCUAAUACCGGAUAUGACUCCAUGACGCAUGUUGUGGGGUGGAAAGCCUUGUGCGGCUGAGGAUGGGCCCGCGGCCUAUCAGCUUGUUGGUGGGGUGAUGGCCACCAAGGCGACGACGGGUAGCCGGCCUGAGAGGGCGACCGGCCACACUGGGACUGAGACACGGCCCAGACUCCUACGGGAGGCAGCAGUGGGGAAUCUUGCGCAAUGGGCGAAAGCCUGACGCAGCGACGCCGCGUGGGUGACGAAGGCC